Molecule: transfer RNA, 75 nt
Filed under: Clostridiales bacterium
Lineage: Bacteria; Bacillati; Bacillota; Clostridia; Eubacteriales
Also listed under: 4 other names
Description: tRNA-Glu
Rfam family: tRNA
About the family: Transfer RNA (tRNA) molecules are approximately 80 nucleotides in length. Their secondary structure includes four short double-helical elements and three loops (D, anti-codon, and T loops).
Source: RNAcentral
GGCCCCAUGGUCAAGCGGUUAAGACAUCGCCCUUUCACGGCGGUAACAGGAGUUCGAUUCUCCUUGGGGUCACCA